RNAcentral lists this ribosomal RNA (434 nucleotides) under uncultured Clostridium sp. RNAcentral's name for it is "partial 16S ribosomal RNA". It matches the Rfam family "Bacterial small subunit ribosomal RNA", at positions 341 to 792 of the family's 1533-position model. Lineage: Bacteria; Bacillati; Bacillota; Clostridia; Eubacteriales; Clostridiaceae. The record is from RNAcentral.
ACGGAAGGCAGCAGUGGGGAAUAUUGCACAAUGGGGGAAACCCUGAUGCAGCGACGCCGCGUGAGUGAAGAAGUAUUUCGGUAUGUAAAGCUCUAUCAGCAGGGAAGAAAAUGACGGUACCUGACUAAGAAGCCCCGGCUAACUACGUGCCAGCAGCCGCGGUAAUACGUAGGGGGCAAGCGUUAUCCGGAUUUACUGGGUGUAAAGGGAGCGUAGACGGCGAUGCAAGUCUGAUGUGAAAGCCCGGGGCUCAACCCCGGCACUGCAUUGGAAACUGUGUUGCUAGAGUGCAGGAGAGGCAGGCGGAAUUCCUAGUGUAGCGGUGAAAUGCGUAGAUAUUAGGAGGAACACCAGUAGCGAAGGCGGCCUGCUGGACUGUUACUGACGCUGAGGCACGAAAGCGUGGGGAGCAAACAGGAUUAGAUACCCUGGUA